AUGAGAAAUGGUUAUUCUAAUUUAUGCCAUCAAAUUUCUUCCCUAAAUCGGUUCAAGUUCCUGUAGGUUUGGAGUCCUCAGUGAGAACUUUUUAAGAGAA
This is a long non-coding RNA of Populus euphratica (Euphrates poplar), 100 nucleotides long. RefSeq lists it as uncharacterized. The transcript is spliced from 3 exons. The record is from RefSeq and is a predicted model, not a curated record. Lineage: Eukaryota; Viridiplantae; Streptophyta; Magnoliopsida; Malpighiales; Salicaceae.